This is a non-coding RNA of Psammomys obesus (fat sand rat), 501 nucleotides long. NCBI's taxonomy places the organism in Eukaryota, Metazoa, Chordata, Mammalia, Rodentia, Muridae. The record is from the annotation of a RefSeq genome assembly.
AUGGGCUCCAGCCUCUAUGCUUGCCUGACUCUUUGUCUCCUGGUGGCAGGUCCCGUGGACCCUAGAAUUAUCCAGAAACCAAAACAUCUGGUGACAGUCAUGGGGAGUGAAAGGACCCUGAUAUGUGAACAGUAUCAAGGACACAAUGCUAUGUACUGGUACAGACAAAGUGCUACGCAGUCCCUAGAGCUCAUGUUUUCAUAUAAUUACCAAAAACUAUUUGAAAACCAGACUCUCACAAAUCGCUUCCAACCUCACAAUCUAGAGAAAUCCUACCUAGACCUUCAGAUCACAGCCCUGCAGCCUGAUGACUCGGCCACAUACUUCUGUGCUAGCAGCCAAGACACAGUCCUGCAGAGCUCCUGUCGCCCUGUACACAAACCUCCUCCGUCUUUCCAGGAAACUGCUGGCGUAACAGGUCCACCGAGCCCUAAGACUCGCUUCAGUAGCCCAGGAGGACUCAAGCAGGAACCACAGACCACAACAGCACCUGCUAAAUGA